UCCUCCUCUUCAUCAAUGUCAUUCAAUUCGAUUUCAAGAUCAGUUUCAAUUCAUGUUGUCAAUCUCCCAUUUAAUCCUCCAAAUUAAGGACUCCUCGUUCGUCAAAUCCCAAUUUCAUGAAAGCAUUGAAAAAUACGAAGCAAAGGAAGAACAAGAAUUUCUUCGAAGUUGCGCGGUUGUUGCUCAACUGGGGGCUUGGAUAUCACGUGGACAAAACCCAUUGGAAGAAUGUUUCUUAUGAGAUUACCAAAGAUCAAUCUUUACAAGGAUGGUAGCCACGGGAAAGCUUGAGGGCUUGCUUACAAAUAUGGAGCAUUACGACAAUAGAGGAAGUAACAACAACAAGCAAAGCCACAAGUACUGAUCAAGACCCAAUAGAGCUUCCAGACAAUGGACCAAACUACUGACAAAAAAACCAAAGAAAAGAUGCGAACACAAUGGGUUUAUCUAGAAUUCUAGAUAUAUCUUGAACUUUGUAAGAUGGGCCAAAAUGUCAAAUGAUUAUUUUAAGCUCCCAAAUUAUAAGUUAUAUGGUUACAACUCAAAAGAGGCAAGUUCGUCCUUCUGAUUCUAUUGUUUCAACAUCUACUUUCACAUAGAUAUUUUGUGUUGUAAAAUACAAAGUACCAAAUUGACUGCAAAUAU
Molecule: long non-coding RNA, 645 nt
Organism: Spinacia oleracea (spinach)
Lineage: Eukaryota; Viridiplantae; Streptophyta; Magnoliopsida; Caryophyllales; Amaranthaceae
Exons: 3
Source: RefSeq, a predicted model, not a curated record